CUCUUAGUUCUUUGAUCUCUACUUUGUUCUAGGAUUCAUAACAUCUUUCUGAACAAGGAAGAAAGCUUGAAUAUAUCUUGGGACAAAGCCAAUGACAGUGUUAAGCAAUUCCUGAACCACUCAAGAAACUCUUGGACCAAAAAGAAACCAUAAAUAAGGAUAAGCCCAAAGAAGAAAUUUGAAUAUGUGGAACAAAUAUGGAUUUUUCAAGCACUGUAAUUCAUGUGAGCUGGAUAAAUUCAAUAGUAUGGGAGAGGAGAAUGGGAUGGGGUGUUAAUUUGGUCUGGAGAACUUCACUGGUCUCUGGUAAGUGGAACCCACAAGAAGGAUGAAUUGUUAAAACUCUAGUAUGUUCUUUUCAGUUCUGUGGUGGUAUCAUCCAGGAAGAUAUGAGGAGACUAGAAGCCUUUAUUGGUCAUCAUCAAAAUGGGUCUCCUUAGAAAGAAAAUAAAAGUAAUUUUGAUUUUUCA
RNAcentral lists this long non-coding RNA (470 nucleotides) under Monodelphis domestica (gray short-tailed opossum). RNAcentral's name for it is "lncRNA (ENSMODG00000047630.1)". The record is from RNAcentral. Lineage: Eukaryota; Metazoa; Chordata; Mammalia; Didelphimorphia; Didelphidae.